AUGGAGCUGCGGGGACGGGCUCCUCCCUGCGCCAGUACGGCGUGUGCUGUACGGAUAUGGAUCCUUGGCAAAACACUAGAGGGAGGAAAAAAAAAAAAAACUUGGUUUGAGGUUUUUUUGGAUGGCUCAGGCCCGUGGUUAGUCAGCCGCUGGCUCCGGGAGCUGAGCGCUGAGGGGCUCAGGGUGCUGUGGGGCCCAGGAUCCCUCCAGGGGGGCUCUGGGAUGGGGCAAGAGUUGGGGUGGGGGAGGUUUGGGGCUGCCCGUGGGCAGGCAGAAGGAUUUCCCUGGGGAAGGAGGCAGCUGGAGGCCAGCAGGAACCUCCAAUUCUGCUGUACCGGGAUGCUCGUGGCCCACGGGGCGACACCCCCGGCGUGCCCACGGUCCCAGACCCACAAAUGGGAAGGAAACAGAGGAAUUGCAGGGAUUUGGGGGCUGGGAGGGCCCAGGGCCCUGCUGGGCAGCAGCAAGGGGGGGACGGGGAAGGGGACGCGGUGUGGGUGGUGGCAGGGCAGAGAUGCCCAAGGGGCUGCCCGCUUCCAGCACGAGCUGGGUGGCAUGUGGCACUGUCCCCAGUGUCCCCAGUGUCCCCAGUGUCGCCCUGGAUGCUGCUGCCAUCUGCUGGCAGGACCCAAUCCUGCUCCGGUCCUGGGUCCGGCUGCUGCACCAAGGCUGUGGGUGCCCUCUGUCACCCCGCUGUCCCGCAGGGUGGCGCAGCCCCGUGCCUGGCUCCAUGCCCAGCACCCCAGGGUGCCCCACGCCAUGACCCCAAGGAAGCCGGGCCCCAAAAUGCCUCCAUCGGGGCCAUCAUCCUGCUCCGCUCUGCUCCCAAACCCGCCGGGAACCGACCUCCCCCCGGCUCUCCGACGCCUCCGCGCCCACCUCGCCCCGGCCUCUCCAUCCCGUGCCCUUCGCAAGCAGAGGCAGAAGGGGCAAGGCCCAAAUCCUCCCCGCACGUGGGCUCGGCGAUGCAGGAUCGGCCCCUUUGGCUGGCUCUGCGGGGCGGUUUCUCCGGGCACCGUCCACCCCUGCUCCCUUGGGGCUGCAGGAACGGGACUCUCGCCCCGCGGCUGA
This 1071-nucleotide long non-coding RNA is filed under the name Anser brachyrhynchus (Pink-footed goose). Its description in RNAcentral is "lncRNA (ENSABRG00000015385.1)". The record is from RNAcentral. Lineage: Eukaryota; Metazoa; Chordata; Aves; Anseriformes; Anatidae.